Molecule: long non-coding RNA, 2551 nt
Filed under: Panax ginseng (ginseng)
Lineage: Eukaryota; Viridiplantae; Streptophyta; Magnoliopsida; Apiales; Araliaceae
Description: long non-coding RNA (PGIN_LNC016293)
Source: RNAcentral
AAGAGAAUACGAAAUGGAAACAAGGGCUAUCGCUUUCAUUGUUGGGUUCAAGGAUCCAAACUUUCAAAGCCAAAUCUUAGAAAAGAGCUACGGCACCAGCACCGGCACCAGCACCAGCACCAGCACGCGUGCGUGUUCGAGAACAAGACAGCGACUGGUGACCAUCCUUUUGCAAUAAGUGAGUUGAGCUUCAGGGCUCAGGCUGAGGCAUUUUUAAUUUUCUUACUCACAGUUAAGCAGAACUAACAUAGUCGAGAUAGCAAGAGAGCAUAGAACAAAUGGCAUGAAACAGUUCAGUAUAUUAUCCGAAGAGUUUAAUACACUGGACUGGACAGGACAUUAUUAAGAAGAACAAAUUCUGCAGCAUUAGCGGCACAGGUCAUACAAAAAAGGGGACACACAAGAAGUAAAGAAAGAGAUGAAUGUCCAUCAAGAAGACUUGACUUCUGCAUCUAGUUUGAAAUAUGUGGCUAAGUAACAAAAGGCUCGUCCAAGUUUUAUAGUACUCCUGUCCACAUGCGUACAUGAAACAGUAAUUAACAAUGGAGUUUCCAAGCAGAAAUUUUCACUUCCACGACUGUAAGUCCCUUCUAGUAGUCAAAUUGAAGUGUUCCUUGAAAACUAAAAAAUUUAUAGCAAACAUGUACUCCAUCAUUUUGCUUGAUUAAGUAAUAGUAACACUAAUAUCCAAAUAACAAGCAUGACUGAAAUAUUUCUUGACAAGUUCAGCAGCUAUCAAACAACCAACCGUAUAUCAUUUUGCUUAAUUGAGUAAUAAUAACACCAAUUUCACAUCACUUGAUUAUUAUUCCACAAACCAACAGAAACACUAGGCAUCUCUCUCCUAAUUCCUCAAUCAUCCAAUAGCAUGUUGAACCAGAUUUUACACCAAGAAAUAAAUAAUUCCAAGCAAAAGUGAACAAGAUUAAUAACCUAUUUACUUUUAGAUUCCAGAAUUGACUAAUCUUUUAUCUGUUCCAUACUUGGUGCAAGUUUACCCAUCAAAAUAAAUAAAAAAGAAUCUUAUGAAAAUGAUUAUAUAAACUCAAGUGUAAGACGCUGCAUUAGUUGCCAAAUAAAUCAUUUCCUGGGAAAAUAAGGGAAGAGAGGACGUGCAAAAAGAAAUGAGAGCAAAAAACAUCACAACAACAACAAUGAUGCUUAGAUACUUGUACUCAAAACAUUAUAAAAGAAUUCUUCAAAUAAAACCAAGCAGGCUCUCCCAAUAAAUGCUUUAGCAGCUAUCACAAAGGCAAGAUAUCAAUUUGUUUAAAUAUGUAGCCAAAAGUAACACCCGUUUUUGUCAGUAUCUCAGUUUGUGAGACAAGCAGGACAGGGCAGCUACCAUUGCAUAGUUACAGUUCAGGAAUACUUUAAAGAGCACAGCACCAGAGAAAUGCUCUUCUUCACAUAGCAAAAUGUUAGAUAUAUCUCAUUGCAACUUAUCAUCCAACAAAAAGUGUAUUUAUAAGUUUAACAAAGAUAUAACUUGGCAUUCAUAGACUGAUGAAAAGAACAUAGAAUAUACUAGGGCCAAAUACAACAGCAGAGGAAUUUUUUAUACCUACACUCGUAAUUUAGAGUCAGGUGACUAGAAUACCUGUAAUUUAUCUAACUCAUAGCGACCCAUGAAAAGUUUUUGAAAACAUAAUCAACAGAACCCCCAACACGAUUUUUUUUUUAUAAAAAAAAUUAGUUUUUAACAUGUGAAUAUAGUUGACCUAAUUGUAAUAUGUGAAAAUUCUAACUAGUUGUAAUAUGUUUAAAUACAAUACCUACUUGUAUUAUUUGCAUGUACAGAAAGCAGAAACAUUUUUAUUUUUUUUAAAAACCUGGAAACAUGACCGUUGGCAAUAUGAAGAAAUUAAUGGAUCAGCGAUUCAUGUUGCCUGCAGCUGUGAUAGUCAAUGCCAUAAAUUUUUAAAAGAAGGCACACGGAGGCCGGAGAGUAUAAAAGCAGGUUGAUGCCCUCUUUCUUAAGUUAGCAUAUGCCAACAGAACAGAGUUUCAAGUACUAAAACUUGUCAACACACUAUAAACAGAGUACACAGACAGAUUGUUAAGCUUUGCUUCCUGAUUUAACAAAAAAAAUGAUCACAAAAUCAAACCGAGAGAUCAUUCCAAAAAAGAUACGUCAUAAACUAAUUAAGUAAUAUACAUUCGAAAAUGAAUUCUUUAGACAGAUUACUUAGAAACCAAUGUUACAAAAAUUAAGAUUUAAGGUACUAAUUGAUCUUACACAUGCAUUUUGCUUCAUGCAGAAUUGUAGAACAUUAAAGUCUGACAAGUUUUGGUCCAGAUUAUUUCAUCAGCAGAACAAAGAAGAAAAGAGCAUCAAAUUUGGAGUAUACGGAAGGCAAAGUAACGUGCAAAACUGUCUAAUCAACUCAACAACACUUUCUAUAUCAAACUAGUUGGGGAAGGAUCAUAUGAGUCUCAUAUGUAAGCUUAAAAGUAGAAAGGCAAGACCAUGGAUAAUUCAUUUCAUUGUAAAAGUCAAUAAAAGAAAAUUGAAUUGCUCAGAUACUUCUACAUCAGAAAGAUCUUCAAG